GGAGCUGUUCUAUUCGAGUUGCUUUGUGCAGUCAGUGGCAUGAGACGUGAUGGUUUUUGCUGUGGGGUGAAGGGCUGUGUGAAUGCUGGAAACUCCAAAGUGGUGCUGGGCACAGGGACGCGCCUGGUUGUGAAGUCCAGUGAGUACAAGUUCUGUCCUGCUUGGUCAUUCUGCCGCAGAGGUCAGCACUUCCCAAGUCCCCCAGCAUUCCCUUUAUCGGCUCAGAGCAGGAAUGUUCUUGUCUCUGGCAGCCCCCUGAAUGCCCAUGGCCCUUCCUGACCUGAGCUCAGCUGGGCCCUCCUUUCCCAACUUAAAUUUGUCUUCCUCUAGUCGUGGAUCAGCACCUGGAUUGUCAGGAGAGCGCACCAUGGAAUGGGGACAGGUUCUGCCUCAGAAGAGCCAGGGUGAGCUUUUUGUUAGGGGAGGAAAUGCUGUGUGAUUAUAACUACAACAGCAAGCCGACCUUUGGCUCAGGGACCAGACUCUCUGUCCGACCCCAUAUUACUCCAUCUCCUUCAGUCUACAGGCUGACCUCUGAAGAUGACAAGAAUCUGGAAAUGUGCCUUAUCACGGAUUACUCCCCUGAAAAGCUUGAUCUUAGCUCAGUUGAUAGUAAGACAGAAACUGUUGUGGAGGUGGCAACAUCUGAGAACAAAUAUGAAGCGAGCUACCUGUCAACCUACUGGGCCAAGAAGGAUGAAAUGCACUGUGGUGCUGUGCACGAGGGAUUUGGAGAACUAGGAGAUGAUCCUGAAGCUGGUGCCAGCACUGUCUGCAUUACAGAGUUGCCGCUGCACUUCAAGACAGAUGAGAACCUGAACACGCUGACCUUCUCACAACUGGGCCUGAAAAUAAUUUUAAUGAAAGCAGUAAUUUUUAACGUGCUGGUGACGAUGCUUAUGUGGAAAAAAAAUGAAUGAAAGUAACCAGACAGUGCAGAUGUGAAGUACCAAAAAAAAUCUGUUGAAUCAUUAUUGGAGCAUUGGGUGCAAGAGGUUCUCCUACUGCAUACCUAUCCUGCAAUAGAUAUCAUUGUUUUUUCUGUAUAUCACACCAGCCAUUAUAGUCUAAAUUGCUUUGUGUGCAUUUUUAUAAAGCUACUCAGAAAUAUGUUACAAUUCUCAGCAUUCUGCUCAUUUAGUAUGGCAAUGCCUUUUUUGGUUUUGUUUUGGUUUUUUUGGAUGAAGCAAAGAUUGCUGUAACUGUGUAUUGUCAAACAUCUCUAUUACUUGCAUUAAAAUGACAUAAAAUUUCUGCCUGAAUUGAGUCACACUCUCAUUUCUCAAUUAUUCACCUCUCUAUCACAGAAGAAUGCUUUUAGCAAAAUUUUAAGGUCGAUGUGACAUUUCUUUAGGCCUAUUAAAUAACUGCUGCUGAUAAUAAGAAACUUGUUGUGUUUUUUUGUAACUCUCAUUGGAGGAGCUUGUUUUAUCUUUCACGUGAGCUUUAGGAUCCAGGUUAGCCUUUGGGAUGAAGGAGGUGCCAGGAAAGGCAGAACAAAAUUUAGCCACCAGGUACUGUGUGCAGCAGUCAGCUUGAUUCACUGUAGAGGGAAUGUCUACAGCUCUUUUUUAGGACAUCCACUUCCCUGCUGUGUUUGGGGGAGGAUAUCGUGACUGUCCCAGAGAGGGAGGAACAUCUCCAAGUCUAGGCUCUGUGCUAUGUGAAGACAGUGGUGAAACACAGCUUGCUAACAAUGAAUUAAAAAGCGAUCCAGGCACUUGAAAGAUAUUUACUGACAUAGGGAAUGCAGCAGUCUGUAGCAUCCCAUUCUAAAUAUCCACUGUUCCCUUAUUCUAUGCCCUGUAGAAUAAGGUGUCUGCCUUGCAUUACAGACAUCACUUGACUGGCCUGUCUCUUCAGGUUCAGGCUCUUGCUGACAAGAUUGAA
This is a long non-coding RNA of Chrysolophus pictus (golden pheasant), 1890 nucleotides long. The record is from Ensembl. NCBI's taxonomy places the organism in Eukaryota, Metazoa, Chordata, Aves, Galliformes, Phasianidae.